GAGAUUUCAAAAUGCUUUAACAAGAACUAGUGACUUCAUUAAGGUUAUUCAAAUUCAAUAGGGAAUUAGCAAAUUUGAACUCCCAUCAACUAUCAGGGAUUGCCAGCAAUAUCUUUGAAGACUUAAAUCUGACUUUAUUACUGAAAGAAGAUUUAUGUGUAUGCAAUUGGAAGAAUGAAAAGUGAACUACCAAAUUCAUGAAUAAUGCAUUAUAGAGGUGGUUAUGGAGGGUGAUGGCGGAAUUGGUAUUUAUUGAAAAGGAAAAACCAUUUCAGACAAAAGCUUGCACAAAUCAAAUCCAAUUUUGCAUAACUUCUACACAUCCCUCGUCACUCAUUAGUCUCGUCAUUCUUAAUUUCGCAACUGUAAGUCCAGGCAUUAAGUGUCCACACAAGACAAAUUGAUAAAUAUAAAUUCACACAAAGUGCAAGAGACAACAAAACCAUUGUUCUCUCCACUUUUUUUUCCAGCAAGCAGAAAUCCAAGCUUAUCAUAUGUCCCAACUGUUAGAUAUAUGCCCUAAAGGAAUUGAUUAAUUAAUUAUUUGUUCAUUUAAUUAAUUAAUUAAUACUUUUUAAUAACCAACAUAAAUUAUAUAUAUAUAAAGCUUCAUGCAUGUGCACGAAGCACAUGCAUGAAACUUGGAUGGUCAGCAACCGCUGACCAUCAUCCACGAAUUCGUGCAUGAACGGUCAGCAGUUGCUGACCAUCAUGCACGAAGUCGUGCAUGAGCAACCGCUCAUGCACGAACAAUCGUGCAUGAGUGGGGACGAUCAGCAACGGUUGCUGAUCGUCCAUCGAUCAGCAACUGUUGCUGAUCGGUUUAUAAUUUUUAGUUUAAAUAGAGUUGUUUUUGCAACACUUAAAAGGGUUGAAAAAAUAGAGAGAAAAGGUGGGUGUGCAUGUGUGUUCCAGAGAGAAAAUGCUUUGCUGAAAACAGAGAGAAAAUUGUGUGCGUGUUCUUGUGUUUUUGAGACGCAAGAAAGAAGAACAUUAUCUCGUUCGGGCCGUGACUAUUAUACAUCAAGGAUACGACGUUUUCUUUCCACGUGAUUGCUAGCACGAUCGAAGUUGUGGAUAUCCGAAAGUUCUCUCUUCCGUUCGACAUUCGUUGUUGGUGUGUCUGAUCUAGAGGUCCGACGCUUGUGGGACUCGUACUGUAGAACAUCCGAACCGACUUGUUUCAAAGCGCGCUUCGAAAGGUAUUUAGUUUAACUCCCUUUUGAUAUUUAGGUUUUUGAUUGAAACGCACGAACAACGCCUAAGGAAAAUCAUGUGUAAAAUAUAUAUUUGUUUCCGCUGCGUUUAUUUUGUUGAUUUUUCUUAUACAUGAUUCAUGAAACCCCAACAGUGGUAUCAGAGCCAACCUUAGGCGUUUCGUGCGUUUAAUUGAUUUAUAGUUCAAAUAUGUUUUUGCGUUCUAAUGGCCAAUUUAUUUUUGUUAAGAGAAUUGGUUCUCUUACUCUUAUGUGGCCUAUAGAAGUUGAUUAAUUUAUGUGAUAAAUUUAAUCAACUAAGCAAAAAUUAGAACUAAAUCAAUUUUGAAUCAAAAAUCUAUAACUUGUUAUACUUGAUGUUUAUAUUUUGCAAAUGAUAUGCAGAAUUUUAUGCAUGUCUUCCAGAGCUUUAAAUUUUGAAUUUAUGGCUCGUAAGGAAGGGUGGUGAUCAUGGAAAAAUCCCUAAUUGUUGUGAUUGUUGUAUGGAUGAAUGUAUGAUGAUUACAGGUAUUCUUUUUGGGGAUGUAAUUAUUAAAUGGAGGCUGCGUCCUUCUUUUAUAUUUAUUUUUACGAAAUGUAAUUUAAGUAUAGUGUAGUAUUUCAAUUAUUGAUGUAAAUACUACAAGAUUGGAGGAGCCAUUGGAGGAGCCAUUAAACCGGUGAGCUCUCUGGGCCCGGUCUUUGAAGAGUUCAAAGAUUGAAGAAAAAGUGAAGAGCAGGUCCAUAUAAUUAAAACAUUAAAAUGGCUAAAUGGGUCUUUUUGGCUCGAGACCCAUUGAACCAUAAUUCCAUGAUCACCACAUAGGAUAGAUAUUAUGUGAUAUCUAUUUAUUUAUUGUGUUUAUGGUAUCGUGCAUGUUAAACCAGUUAAUGUGCAAAGUGAGACCGUUAAUAACGACCCAAAUCUCCUUACAAAGAAUAUUAAGUCGAAACGGGUUUCGGACUCGUGGCCUUCCAUCGUUGUGGUUUGAUCCAAUAUUAUAGUGGUUAACUAACCGGUUAUGGAUACAUAGGGGUUAAUUACCAUUUAUAAUAUUGGACCACUCCAUUAUGCAUAUGAUGCUGUGGGGUUGGAGCCAAAUGAUUUCUAAUAACUGUUAGGUGAGGGAAUUAUUUGUGUUUUCAAUACUUGCAUGAGACGAUGGGCUAGACUUAACUAUGAUCAUGAUGCCAAUAACUGUUAGGUGAGGCUUUCAUGGUCUAGAGGCCGAAGUUAUGAUUGGGACUCGCAUAUGAUGCGUUGAACAAGCUGGUUCACUCACUAAGUUCAUAGGACACCAAUAACUGUUAGGUGAGGUGGACUUUGGGCUAGUGGGACUCCAAUCCCCACUAGUAAUCUUUACCCAACGAAGAUUACCGCUUCCCAUCUUAAGGAGUAUGGGAUUCGAAUAUAAAUUUAGUGGGAGGAUCUAUUUCAUUUAAAGGCCAAAAUGAAAUAGUUACUUUGAAAGAUACAACGGCUAACAAUUUAUUUUCUGCAACAGAUAUAUUAUUACUCUGAAAAUGGUGACCACAAACCCACUCGCUUCUAUACUUGACAAGAAUUGUUUGACUGGACCCAAUUUCACUGACUGGGUGAGGAAUUUGAGAAUUGUUCUCAAUUCAGAAAAAAUUGGGUAUGUGCUUGAUGAAAAGAUGCCAACCUCCUUUCCUGAGGGUGGGACCCAAGAGGAGCGUGUCACUUAUGAUAAGUGGCGUGAUGAUGACUUAAAAGUUAGGUCAUAUAUGCUUGCUUCUAUGAAUAAUGAAUUACAAAAGAAGUAUGAAUCUAUGGAAGAUGCUGGGUCGAUCAUUUUGCACUUAAAGGAAUACUUUGAUGAGAAUGGUCGAACCUCUAGAUAUGAGAUAUCUAAGGCAUUAUACCGUAUGAGGAUGGCUGAAGGAUCAUCUGUUAAUGAUCAUGCUUUGAAAAUGAUCUGGCACAUUGAAGAAUUGGCUAGGCUGAAUCUCGUUAUGGACAAUGAGUUAGCUGUGGAUUUGAUCCUCCAAUCUUUACCCGAUUCCUUCUCUGGUUUUGUCCAAAACUUCCACAUGCAUAAGAUGGAGAAAACUCUUGCUGAGUUACAUAGCAUGUUGGUAGUUUAUGAGAAGGAAAUGCAUAACACGAGGCCAAAUGUAGUGGCUAUGGCUAAGGCUUCUUCUUCAAAGGGUAAGACCAUUUUAAAGAAGAAUAAAUGGAAGAGGCCUGCCAAACCUGUUGUGCAACCAAAACCCAUGAUUGAUAAAGGGAAAUGUCAUUACUGUGGUGUCAAAGGGCACUGGAGGAGGAACUGCAAGAGGUACCUCGCGAGCUUGAAGGUCAAGCCCAAGAACCGACCUUAUGAAGGUAUGGUGUCUAUGCUUAUUGAAACCAAUCUUAUGGUUAGUGCUGAAUCCAGCUCAUGGGUUCUAGAUUCUGCUGCAACUUCACAUAUUUGUAUGUCUUUGCAGAAUCUGGAAAUAAGCAGGAUGCUAAGGCGAAAUGAGAUUGUCCUGACGUUUGCCAAUGGAGCAAGAGUUGCUGCAUUAGCUAUAGGGACUUUUCGUUUAUGUUUCCCUUCUGGACAUGUAAUGGUUUUAAAGAACUGUUUGCAUUAUAAGAAUGCUGUUAGGAACAUCAUCUCUAUACCUCGUCUGGGUAAAGAGAAUUAUGAAUUUUCUUUCGCUGAUGAUGUGUGUUCUAUUUAUCAUAAUAGAAUAUGUGUUGGUUCUAGCAUAUUAACCAACAAUCUUUAUACCAUUACAAUGUCCGGUAAUGUGAUUACCAAUGUCAAUAAGCAAAAUAGAAUUGAUAUAAAUGCCAUAACUAAUAAACGCCCUAGAGACGGUCCAAAUAAAAAGUAUGUUUGGCAUCUCCGAUUAGGUCAUAUUGGAGAAGACAGAAUUAACAAGUUGAGUAAUGAUGGAUACAUUGAUCCUUCAAAUUUUGAGUCAUACUCGACUUGUGAGGCAUGUCUUCUAGGAAAAAUGACCAAAGCGCCUUUUGUGGGACAAAGUGCGCGAGCUGCUGACAUAUUAGAAUUAAUACAUACAGAUGUAUGUGGACCAAUUAAUGAAACUGCUAGAGGUGGUUAUAGUUACUUCAUUACCUUCACCGAUGAUCAGUCACGGUAUGGUUAUUUAUACCUCAUGAAGUAUAAAUCUGAAUCCUUUGAAAAGUUUAAGGAAUUCAAGGCUGAAGUUGAGAAACAAACAGGAAAAUGUAUUAAGGCUCUUCGAUCAGAUCGAGGAGGUGAAUACCUUAGUACUGAAUUCCUGGACUAUCUUAAAGAGAAUGGCAUUUUAUCACAAUGGACACCUCCUGGAACUCCAGAACAUAAUGGUGUAUCUGAACGAAGAAAUCGUACUUUAUUAGAUAUGGUACGAUCUAUGAUGAGUUACACCGAUUUGCCAAUAUCCCUUUGGGGAUAUGCCCUUGAGACAGCUGUAUAUAUACUGAAUAGAGUGCCGUCCAAAUCUGUUCCAACUACGCCCUAUGAGAUAUGGCAUAGUAGGAAACCUAGUCUUAAUCAUAUUAAGAUUUGGGGUUGUCCAGCUUUCGUGAAAAAGCUGAAAAUGGAAAAAUUGGAGGCAAGAUCUGAACAAGGUCGCUUCAUUGGAUAUCCAAAGGAAACUCUUGGAUAUUAUUUCUAUUUUCAUUCAAACCAAAGAAUUUUGGUAUGCAAGCACGCUUCUUUUUUGGAGAAUCAGUUCGUCCAAGAAAGUGGUGCUGGGCGGAAAAUAGUCUUACAAGAAGAAAAUAAUGAAGUAUCAAACAACCGAGUUCAGAUACCAAUCUCUGAUUCAGUGGGAGCUUCUGAUACACAACCUCUUAGGAGAAGUGUGAGAACGUCUCGCCCACCUACUCGUUAUAGACACUUGGUUGAUCAUAUUGAACCAUUAUUCAUUGUGAAUGAUAGUGAUCAACCCGGUGAUCCUAAAACCUAUGAGGAGGCGAUGUUGGACAUCGAUUCUGGUAAAUGGCUAGAGGCCAUGAAAUCCGAAAUGGAUUCAAUGUAUUCCAAUGAGGUUUGGACCUUGACUGACCUGCCUGAUGGUAUUGUACCAAUUGGCUGUAAAUGGAUCUUCAAGAGGAAGAUGAAUGUUGAAGGUCAAAUUGGAAUUCACAAAGCACGGCUGGUGGCGAAAGGAUAUCGUCAAAAAGAAGUAAUUGAUUAUGACGAAACUUUCUCACCUGUGGAGAGACACUUCCAUCUCAUCAGAGAAAUUGUUGGGAGAGGUGAUAUCGCCUUGCAGAAAAUUGCCUCAGCAGAAAACGUGGCAGAUCCCUUCACUAAGGCCUUACCUCAGUCUUCUUUUGAAAGACAUAUUGACAAAAUGGGUUUGAGGUACCAUACAAGUUGGCUUUAGUGUAACUGGGAAAUUGUUGGAUGUAUGCCCUAAAGCUACUAUGUAAUAGUUACAUAUUAGGGAUUUCAGUUGUACUUUCAUUAUUAUUAUUUAAUUAAUGGCAACGACUUAUUCAUUCAUUUGUCCAAUUAUUUUAUAUUGAUGAAUGAUUCCAUAAGAUCAGUUGCAACUAGACCUAUUCUUGAGACGUCAAGAAUAUAUGUGACGGGUUCAUAGUUAGACUGAAUCUUUAAAUUGUUCCCGGUCGAUGGAUUAUUAAGUGGAUAUUAAUAAUCCUGUUGAGACCGGUGUGUUCUUAACUUCGCCAUUAAGUAUUUGAUACUUAAGGGAAUGAUGAGUCACAUGUCAUUGGGUAUUAUGAUACCUGAGUUAGAACACAGGUAUUUGUAUUAGACAAAUUCACUGAACGUGACGCAUAUGGAACGAUUAGCGACAUGGAAGCUUUUUAGCGUGGUCAAUGUCUAAUUGUUCAUGCUUUGGUCUUGUGUAAAUAAUCCUUAGACCUGAGGCACAGUGUUAACUUGUGUAUCGAACAACUAUGGUUCACGGGUGCACAUAAUGCCGGGUCGUCGAUCCGUCUUUAUACUUGAUGGUCAUAGUUUGUUCAUAUACGAAGUUACACAUGUGCGCAAUAUGGAAUCUGUCUCCUUGUUAUAUGCAAGGUAUGAUAAUGAUGUCCUAUGCGAUCUAACUGUGACACUGCAUUGAAAUCCUCGGCCGGGGUUGUAACCGAGAAUAAAUUGUUUAUGUCUCGAAUAAAAUGCAUGUCAAUUAGAUUUGUGCAUAUGAUCGAAUUAAUGACUUGACAAAUAUUCCAUGGUCUUUGUUUGAUCGGGACAUAGUAAGACAGAAGGAUUGAAUUACACUGUAGCCAAAGCUGACAGGUUCAUUAUGUUCUUAAAGCAUUCACACUAUCUGGGUAGCCAUGACAUAUUGCUAGAUGUCAAUCGUGGCUUGUAGGACCUAAAAGAUUAAUCGGGACAAUUAAUUCUUUUGGAAGUACUAAUGUGUUAGUACAAGUCUUACUACCAGCUUAGUGAUGAACCUAGGGAUGUCACACACCAUAAACAACUAGGAUGACGUGGAACAAGAGAGAAAUAUUAUUGCAAAUGUGUUUGCAAUUACUACAAUCGAAUUGAGUCGAUUUGAAAUUAAAUUAAAUGAGAUUUAAUUUAAUUUGUAUCAUAGUCACGAGCCUACUUGCAUAUGAUGCACACACAUGCCCAAAGUGGAUAUAUGUUAACAUACCAAACAAGUUGGCUUUAGUGCAAGUGGGAGAUUGUUAGAUAUAUGCCCUAAAGGAAUUGAUUAAUUAAUUAUUUGUUCAUUUAAUUAAUUAAUUAAUACUUUUUAAUAACCAACAUAAAUUAUAUAUAUAUAAAGCUUCAUGCAUGUGCACGAAGCACAUGCAUGAAACUUGGAUGGUCAGCAACCGCUGACCAUCAUCCACGAAUUCGUGCAUGAACGGUCAGCAGUUGCUGACCAUCAUGCACGAAGUCGUGCAUGAGCAACCGCUCAUACACGAAGUCGUGUAUGAGCAACCGCUCAUGCACGAACAAUCGUGCAUGAGUGGGGACGAUCAGCAACGGUUGCUGAUCGUCCAUCGAUCAGCAACUGUUGCUGAUCGGUUUAUAAUUUUUAGUUUAAAUAGAGUUGUUUUUGCAACACUUAAAAGGGUUGAAAAAAUAGAGAGAAAAGGUGGGUGUGCAUGUGUGUUCCAGAGAGAAAAUGCUUUGCUGAAAACAGAGAGAAAAUUGUGUGCGUGUUCUUGUGUUUUUGAGACGCAAGAAAGAAGAACAUUAUCUCGUUCGGGCCGUGACUAUUAUACAUCAAGGAUACGACGUUUUCUUUCCACGUGAUUGCUAGCACGAUCGAAGUUGUGGAUAUCCGAAAGUUCUCUCUUCCGUUCGACAUUCGUUGUUGGUGUGUCUGAUCUAGAGGUCCGACGCUUGUGGGACUCGUACUGUAGAACAUCCGAACCGACUUGUUUCAAAGCGCGCUUCGAAAGGUAUUUAGUUUAACUCCCUUUUGAUAUUUAGGUUUUUGAUUGAAACGCACGAACAACGCCUAAGGAAAAUCAUGUGUAAAAUAUAUAUUUGUUUCCGCUGCGUUUAUUUUGUUGAUUUUUCUUAUACAUGAUUCAUGAAACCCCAACACCAACCUCCACCCACACAAAAAUUCGAACACGAAAGAUCAUCAACUGGGCUACAUUGAAAUGCUCACAAUACUCUCAUGGGAUGCAGCUGCCUUUGCACAUGCUUUACUGAUCCAUGCUAGUAUGUAUCCAUGGGUAAGCACAACUAAAAACUACCCAAAGUCCCUGCUAAUGGUAUAUGCAAGAAUCUGACUUGUUCUUACCUCAUAGGAUCUGUAACUGGGUUGGAGAAACAAGAAAUAGUUAAAAGGGGUCCCCCGCUAAGUCCUCAAUAUCUGCUAAGUUUCUGGGAAGCUUGAUUAGUACUAUCUAAGGAAGGCCGACAUUGCCCCACUCUAAGACUGCCUGUCACUUUCAAACAACUAUUGAUCUUUAAAAGCAACUGCUCUCUGAAUAAAGAAAGUCACCAGAUUGCCAAUUCUCUAAAGCACCCCGUCCACUUCGUCAACCAGCUUUCCCACAUUUCCUAGCAUGCAAAGCUGCAAAUCCUAGUGGACAUACAUCAAACUUUUAAAAUUUCUGAUCACACAUAUGCACUGAAAAGGACACAAGACAGAUAUAGCAUGUUAUACAACUGGACGCGGAAGUGAUUUAGUACCUGAAAAACACUGCUUAUAACAAGCUAUAGUUUAUUUAGUCCGACCAUGUACACCAGCAAUCAACUGGUCUUUCACUAGAAGGUUCUAAUAUCUCUACUCAGGUACGUACUUCCUCCAAUGUGCAGUCACAAUCCUCAAAGGGUUGAGUUAUUCUACCUUUGGUAAACCAAUUACCUACGGUCAAGUAUAUGCAAGGCAGAUGAACCAUGCAAGAGUAAUUUUCUACAUAGACGUAAUGCUGAGCAUGAUUUGGUUUGGGAAAAUUGCAAACCAAUCAGAAUCAAGCAGGGGUCCAGAACCGAACCGGACUUACAAAAAUGCCUCCUGGAACAGAACCAAACUGAUAAAUCAGAUCAGGUAAGUAUAAUGGUUUGAACAUGUUUUUCUUACCCUGGCAAACACACAAGCGACACAUACAUACACCAACAGGGACACACUUUCCCAAGACCCCAUGCAGGCAGGCCCACGUGCAUCAACACGCGAGAGAGAGAGAGAGAGAGAGAGUACCACUCCCGAUAACAUUUGAGGCACAUGACGUGGCUGCAGUUUGGCAGCACAAUUUUACUAUACAUUUCCAUGCAUAUUCCACAUUCAUCUUCCUUUUCAAAUUCUAUAUCUGCAAACUGCCUAUGUUCCUCCUCUUCUCUCAUUUGUACCUCUCCAUGCACGUAGUCUUCUGCCUUCUAUCUUCAGUAUCGGUCACACCUCUUUCAAGCUGCAGUAAUGAUGGAUAUAUUACCGUUGACAACAACAGGAACAGAGCAUUGUCAAAAAUAACUAAUUUAAAUGGAUCGCCAACUUGACUUUGAAUGACGGCAGUCAGAAUUUGAUUACCAUAGAACUCUCUGAUGCUAGCUUUUCUUUCAUGGGUUGACAUGGUCAUCGUGCCAUCAACAUAGACCUAGAGAACGAGAGGACUUCCAGGUUUCAGCAAUUACCCUAUCACCUAUCACAAAUAUGACUUGAUAAAACUAAAUUUGAUUUGAAAAAAUGCGCUGACCUCCACUCACAAAGAGAUGAUCCACAUUGGGCUUUCAGCAGAAUGAAUGAGCCAAGUAACAAUCAUCUAAUAACUGUGCCGGUCACCAUGAACACAGUAAAUCCGCAUCAAACAAAAAAUUUAUUUCUCGCACAUAUAACUUACCAAGAUUUCACAAUCAAUGAAAGAAGAAAAAUCACGCAGACAAGAGGAACAAAAAAAAAACAUAUUUCAGCCUAAUCGAUCUCUUAAAAGGGAAAAGCAAGAAGAGGGCGCAAUCACAACUCCCAAGAUACACACCCGUCUUCCACUCAUCAUUAAACAGCCCGAAAAACGAUCUAAUCUAGCAAUAAAAGCAAAUGCAGCGAAAGCUCGACAAGAAAUUUUUAUCGUGGUUCGCUUUUGCACUCAUUUCUUGCGAGAACACUCGAAGAAAUGCAUCGAGAAGUUGAUUCUCUGGGUAAGUCGGGUCGGAUUACAUUGGAUAUCACAAUGCCAUUCGUCCUGGAACUCCCAUCAAACACAUGGUGUGCAAGGGUUGCUCGUCGAACGCGAUGAACUCCGUCGCCAUCGGUGCGCUGAACACCAUAGCUGCACCGUCGCUAGGGACACGGAACCACCAAAAUAGUGGGUCAUUUGAGCUUUGCUCAAAUCCUGCAGUUGCGAAAAGAACAUCGCAUCUUGAUAAGAAAGCCUGGACAUAAGUAGCAUAACCCGGAAGCUUGCCUUCGUGGAGGUUCUUGUCGAAGUUGGCGGUGGAGGUGAGACCGCUGAGGGGGCUGACCACCGACGGGGGCGUUCGGUUGCGGCGGCGGUGCGCGGCGGAGAGGAGCAAGCUCGACGUCGACGGCUGGACUAGGUGCUGUGCUUGUUUUAACGUAUAUAUGUAUUUCGACAUUAAUAAGAUAGGAUGAAAACCCGGAACUUUUUUUUUUUUUUUUUUGGUGCGGUUCAGCUAAAAUAAGAGGUUUUUUUUUUUGUUGUAUUCAAAAGAUAAUAAAGGAAAGGGAAAAACAUAAAAGAAAAAUUAAAUUAUUGCACCUUUACCAUAAUUUUUUUAUGAUGUCAAAAAUCAUAUAUUAUUCUCAUUGAGACAAAUUUAUUUUCUGUUACAGUUUCAUUGAAAAUAAUUGUCAGAAAGCUAAUGUAAAUCGAACACGACACUUUAGCUGUGUUUGGUAACGUUUCUGUUCAAAAAUUGUUUUAAGGAACAGAAAUAGAAAAAACUAUUUCUGUUCCGGGGAACAAUUUUUUAACAGAAAAAUGUGUUUGAUAAAUUUGUUCCUUAAAUAGAAAAAGAACAGGAAUACGUUUGGUAAACUUGUAUAAUUUUUUUGUUUCUAUUAAUUUUUUAAUAUUUUUAUUUUCUUUUUCCUUUUUUUCUUUUUUCCUUUUUUCUUUUUUCUUUUUUCUUCCUUUUGGUCGGUCGGCGACCUCGGACAUGGCCAACGACCGGCCGACGAGGGUCGGUGGCCUCACCUAGCCACGGUGAGGCUUUGGGCGAGGCCAAGCCUCGCCGGCCGGCGACCCUUCGGCGAGGUUGUCGGCCCUCGACGGCCGAUCGGCAGCCAUGGCCGAGGCCGGCGACCGGCCAAAGAAAAAAGAAGAAGAAAAGAAAUAAAAGGAAAGAAUAGGAAAGAGAAAAUUGUUUCUUGGAAGUGUUUCAGAAACAAGAAACAAGUUUUUCUUGUUUUUUGUUUCUGUUCCAAUUUUGUUCCCUGAAACAAAAACAAGUCUCGGGAACAAAAAUGCAAACAAAUGCGUUUUUGUUCUUUUUUUUUCCCCGGAACAAAAAAACAGGAAUUGUGUUCAUAAUCAGAAAUAAAGAACACAAACAAACGAGGCCUUUAAAGCUACGUUUGGCAGUUGAAAUAAAAUUCAGAAUAUGAUAAAUUUUAUCUUUUCCUGCAUUUGGUGCAUACUUUAGAUAGAAUAAAGUCAGAUAUAAGGGAAAUAUAAACCAGAUAAAAUUAUCCCAUUGAGGUAGUGAGAUAAAGGUGGAUAAGAUAUUUAAAUCUAUAAUAAGAAAGUUAUUUUUUCAAACAAUAAACUUCUUAAAUUAAGAAAAUAAAUACAAUUUAGUUAUUUUAAUUUAAUCUUAAUUUUAUUUAUAUAUUUGAAUUUAAUUCUAUUUUAUAGUAUAAAUUCAACAUAUAAAUUUAAAUAUAUACUUUUAUUUAUUUCAUAUUUUAUUUGUCUUAAUAUUUUAGAUAUAUUAAUACAGUUUAUUGUUUAAUAAAAUUUUAUUGGAGAAUGAUGGAAGGAGAAGAAAAAAUAAAAAAGAAAUUAAUUAAAAAAGAAGAGGCAAAUAAAAUAAAAUAAAAAUAAAGUAGGCUGUUGUGAAAGAUUUUUACUAUUUUUAUUUAUAAAAUUUUUUUUAUUUAUAUUAAUAAUAAUGUAUCUGAUAUGAUGUGAAUAUAUCCGAUUUUAUUAUUGUAAUGGCCAAACAAUAAAAAGAAGGGUUAUACCCUGAAAAACCCAAACUAGUACACCUGUGACAAAUUUACCCAAAACUAUUUUUUUUACCAUGAAAAAUCUCAAAUUGGGACACAUGUGACAAAUUUAUCCCGAUUGACCAUAAAAAACCAUAAACUGGUACAUUUAUGACAAUUUUAUCUCCAAACUAAUUUAUUCGACCGCAAAAAAUCCAAAAUUGGUAAAUUUGUGAUAACUAUACCCUCCGUUAAAUUGGAUUAAUACAACAAAAAAAUCACAAAAAUUGUAAACCAUGACAAACGGAGUGUAAAAUCCCAAAUUUGUAUACCAAUCAACUGUUACGUGUCAUUUAACUUAAUAAUUUGAUAGUAAAAUUUAACGAAAACUAAUAGAGGGUAAAUUUGUUACAAGUGUACCAGUUUGAGAUAAAUUUGUCAAAGGUAUACCAGUUUUAGAUUUUUGAUGGUUAAAAAAAUAGUUUUUGGUAAAUUUGUUACAGGUGUAUCAGUUUAGAGUUUUUCAAGGUAUUAACCCUAAAAAGAAUACAACUAAAUCAUAUCUUUUCCAGUUCUAUCGUGACUAAAAAUUUGAACCAUCAACCGUAACUUUAGGGAUAAGUGGGUCAAAUGAGGCCAUAAGUGAGCGCCACAUUAGAAAAAGAAAAAAGAUCUAAACAAAGGAAAAAAAAAUAUUGCACCGCCCAUGGUCUUCCUCUCGAGGAAGAGCAGUAUGAAGUUUCAAGAAUGUCAAGCUUGAGCGGCUGCCAUGGCCUCUCCAGCUCGAAGCUUGGCUUGUCUGACCUUGACCUUCGAAACUCACAACCGCCAUGACCGCUCUAGCUAGAAGAUUGGCUUACUUAAGGGUCUAAUUUAGUCCUUCAAAGCUAGCUAGUAGCCGCCAGUUGCCAUGGCCAAGCUCAUGACUGCCAUGACCGCUCUAGCUCAAAUCUUGGCUUGAGGUAUGACCUCGACCUUUGAAGCUCGUGAGUAUUCGCCGGCAGCCAAGGCCAAGUUUCGAAGUAGCUUGAAGGUCGAGCUUUGAAGCUCACAGCCGCUGUCAUGGCCGCUCAAGCUCAAAGCUUGGCUUGAUUGUCUGUCCUCCAUCUUCAAACCUCGUGAAUGGUCGGGCAACCGCCAACGAGCACCAUCGGAGGAGUUUGGCCAAGCGAUUGAAGACGGUGAACGCGUGGAAUGGUACUUUGCAAAGUAUUGGGGAAGACGAUGACUAGUGCAAUUUUUUUCUUUUUAGUUUUAAAUUUUUUGAAAAUGUAGCACCACAUCGUCGUCAGCCCUUGGCUAGGCCCGGCAACCCUGGCCAACUCUCCCCCCACCCACCGGCAACAACAAGGAGGCUACAGCGAUGCCACCUCCAACUAUUCAUCAUCUUCCUUCCUUCUUUUUUUUUUUAAAUUCAUUUUAAAUUUACUUUAAUUAAUUUUUAUACUAAUUAUUUAUCCACAUUAACAGCAAAAUGAAGUUAUUUUUACAUUUGUCUAAUCACAUCAGCAUGUAAAACGACGUCGUUUUGCACUUGUAUCACCAGAGAAUUACCACGUCAGCAAUUUGGCCAAAUUUUCUUGCCGUUGACACUUAACUAAUUCAUUUUGCUCUGAUUUUGCCACUUAAGUGUCACUUUCCUAAUUUUUAAUACUUAAGUAUUAGUCUGUGUCAAGUUUUGACAUUGCAAAUAUUUGGCACUCUACUUUUGAAAUACUAUAGUGUUCAUACUUGGAAGGACUGCAUCUCUUUUCUCAACAGCAUUUUUUAUUAAACGCUCCUUUUCGCAUUUUUAGAAGAAACUUGCACUAUUUUUUUUUUUCUUUUUGAAGAAUAAAUGUAGGCAACUCUCGUCAAAACAGUGAGUUUGAACGGACACAUAUUUUGCAUUCUAAUGGUAAUUUAGAUGGUGUUUGUUUUGUGAAUAGCAUCUUCAUUAGGCGAUUUGCAUUUUCCUCUUGUUUUUGAAAACUGUAUACGUUGCACAACCACAUUGAUACCAUCGGAAAAGUUCAUUUUCUCGAUAAAGACGAAGCAAACACCUCAAACAUUUGAAGUCACAAUACCUACUGACAACUGAAAAAUUUGCAGACCGCUUACAAACACAGACAAUAUAUAUCAGUGACUAUUAAUUUCGCCAUGGAAAAAGUAACUUUUUACGAUGAAAAGUAAUUUUCCACCUAUUAAAAUUAGUAACUUCACCAUGUUAAUCAUCACUUUUUACAUAUAGGUGAAGUUUGAGCAUAAUGGCGACCAAUAAUUUCUUUAUGUAGUCAGUAAUUUCUAAUUUUGAAAGUUGCUUAUCCAUGCAAUUAAUGAAAAUCACAAAAAGGGACUUUGGAUAUAUCAAUGAUAAGUUACAUCCAUACGUGCUUAGUGCUUGCCAAAAACAAGUGAUUAACAACUUUCCCGAAAUGCUAAAAAAGGAUAAUUUAAGCAAUAAACUUCAGAAAUAGCGGUGCUGGAGAAUAUGCAUUUGCAAGUUGUACCUCUAAAGAAACCCAAUACACACGAGCUAUUUUAUUGGAAUCGAGUGAGACUGAUACUGAAGCAUUCUUCAACAAUCUUGCUACGCGCACCGACCACCAAUACAUUUCCUUGGAUUGCCGCAUACUAGGAGGCUGAAUCCAAAAGCAGCACAUCCUAAUUCAUCCACCAAACAUAUCUCUAGGAAUCGAGAGCAAUUCCAGACGUCCAAGUACUUCCCUGUCAAGCUGUAGAAACCAAGCUUUUCUUUGAAUCAAUCCAAUAGCUAAGCGAUUGCAAUUCGUACAAGAAACAAUAAAAAAAGAAGAAGAAGAAGAAGAAGCAAGACGUUUUAUUUUGGAUUUUAUAGCACCAAAAUAGAGUUCUAGUAACCUGACAGUACUCAAGAAUGUGCGUACACAUUGCAGGCCUCAUGCUACUUUAAAUUAUGUACACAUAUGAAUGGUGGAAGAUAACAACUAUCAUCUUCAAAGAACGAUCUUCAGUUAUGUGUUUUACCAGUACGUUUGCAUUUGCAUAAACAAUACAGAAUGUAUAGCAAUGAGAGAAGAGAAAAGUUCUAAUAAAAUUUAUGCUAUAAACCUGUUGUUCAUUUUUGUUCGUGUAAGCCCCUUGCGAAGAGUUUCUCUCUAAUCUUUUGCAGCUGAUUUGCAGCUCCACUCAUGCUCAUCCGUCUUCCAGGCAUUUCGUCGGAGCAAGCGACUCCAAUAUUAUAUACUGUGACCAAGCACUCUUGAAAUACGCCGUCGCUUUCGGGGAGCCAAUGCUGAUGGCUGUUGGUGCUUGAAUGAUUCUCUCUUUCUUGAAGUAGAAUGUGAUCCGUAAUUUCCAUCACUCGUUCAGACAAAGCUUCAGCCACAAAACUAUGAAGAGUCAAAUUGUCUCUAAAUAUGUCAUCGGUGGGACUCAACCCUGUGAACAUCUCCAAUAAGAGAAUGCCGUAACUAUAGAUAUCGCCUUGUCUUGAAACCUCACAUCCCAUUGCAUAUUCUGUGACAAAUGUAGAUCAUAAUGUGGGUGAAAUUUGGAGUAGGAUCACUAAAGCAGAAUGUAAUGGGCAUAAGAGGUACCAUGCAGCUACCAAACUCACAAAGUAACCCAUCAAUAAUUUUUUUUACCUAAAAAAACAUUUUUUGUCUGAAUGAGAGAAUUACCUGGUGGAGCAUAACCAAUUGUUCCUCUUAUGCCCAAUGAGCUCAUUUGAUUAGCUACGGUAUCAUUGGAUGAUCCAAGGAGGAACUUUGCCAAUCCAAAGUCACCAACAUGGGCAACCAUGUCAGCAUCUAAAAGGAUAUUGCCAGGCUUUAGAUCACAAUGAACGAUGGGGAUGUGGCACUGGUGAUGAAGAUAAUCCAGUGCAGAAGCAACAUCAAUAGCAACAUUUAUCCUAUGAAAGAAAUUCAAUUUCUGGGUAGGUUCGUUCCUAUGAGAUGGUGUUGGGUUUGGGUGUAGCCACCUUUCUAAGCUUCCCUUUUCCAUGUACUCAUAAACUAAGGCCUUGAAAUCAUUUUGCCGAUAAUCAAUACCCGAGCAAAUUGUCAAUAUCUUUAGAAGAUUUCGAUGUCUGAUAUUCUUUAAUGCCUCGCACUCCGCCAUGAAGCUCUUUAGAGCACCACGAUGCACAAAAUGAAGCACCUUCACUGCAACGGCUGUACCAUUCUCCUCAAUUAUCCCCUUGUAAACAGAACCAAAGCUUCCAACACCGAUCAAAUUCAUUGAAGAAAAACCAUCAGUUGCUUUUAGGAGUGCUCGAUAAGAUAUGUAUGGCCAUGAAUCCUCCAUGGAAGUUGAAAUUGGUUCUUUUACUUUCUUCUUUAACCAAUAAAGAUACAAAAAAACUAGAGUAAGAGUUAUUCCAAGAAUGCCAAAAAUAAUACAAGCCGACGAUACCAAUAUAUGGAUUUUUCUUCUCUUGGAGCUUUUGGAGACGCAUUCGGGGAGGUGAAAUGCCGGCAAUCCCCCACAAAGCGCAUCGUUCCCAAUAAUAGAAGUCAUGGUAGUAUUCUUAAAGACUCCUUCACGUGGUAGCAUGCCUUCAAAGCUAUUGUAAGACAAAUUCAAAAGUUCCAAGGAAUGAAAUAACACUAAGAAUUCUGGAAUCUGACCCGACAAAUUGUUGCGUGAAAGAUCUAGUUCUUCAAUGCCUCCCAACGAUCUGAUCGAUUGGGGAAUGGACCCGUUGAAGAAGUUUCCCCCCAUCCUCAGUAAUGUCAAUCCAGUGCAAUCCCCUAAACUAUUUGGGAUUUCACCCACCAACAUAUUGUCAAAGAUGUCCAACUCGGUCAGAGUUCUCAAGUUCCCUACUUCUAUGGGUAGAACCCCGCUCAGACGGUUAUGAGACAAGUCUAGAAAGAUUGUUAUCGAUGAGAGACCUAUGAGCUGUGGAGGUAUGGUACUGCUAAGAUUGUUACUAGAAAGAUCAAGCCACUGGAGAGAUUGGCACUUCGAUAGAUGUGAGGGAAUUUGCCCAUGAAAGUUGUUCCCACCAAGACUUAGUCCGAUCAACUUAGUUAGAUUUCCUAAAGAAGUGGGGAUUGUCCCUCUUAGGUUGUUACUGCCUAAGCGCAAUAUCGCUAGAUUUUGUAAAUUCCCAAUAUUUGGGGGGAUCUCGCCUGAAAACUUGUUAAAAGCCAGUGUUAACACUUCUAGGUUGACUAGAUUUCCAAUUUCUCGAUGAAUCUUACCAAACAUUAGGUUCUCAUAUGCGGUGAAUGACUUGAGAGUGCUCGAGAAAUUACCUAUGCAUUUGGGUAAUGCCCCACCGAGUCUAUUCAUACUAAUUUGGAAGUACUUUAAUUCUGUGUAGUUUGUCAAUGAGCAUACAAAGCUCAAGUCUUCAGAAUUUCCACUUCCCAGCUCGUUAUCAGGGAUGGAAAAAUACCAAAGCUUGGGCAUAUUUCUAAAAGAAGGCACUUUCCCUGAAAGCUUGUUGAUUCCGAAUUCAAUUGUCUCUAGAUUUGUCCAAUUGGACAUUGAGGGAGGAAUUGGUCCCUCAAAUUGGUUACCGGCAAUGCUAAAAUCUCGAAUAUUUGGGAGCAUCAAGUCUAAGUCUGCAAGAAGACUCCCCAGCAUCCGAUUAAAUGACACGUCAAACCAAACUAGAGAAGAGAGAUUGAGUAACGAGGACGGAAUUGUGCCGGACAAUCUAUUAUCUCCGAACAUAAUACCUUCUAAAUUUGUCAGGCGGCCUAGAACUUUGGGAAUGCUCCCGCCCAAGUCAUUUGCCGUGAGUUGAAGAAGAUGCAGUGAAGAUAGGUUUCCGAAGAAGGAAGGCACGUUCCCAGAGAGUGCAUUUCCAUAAAAUGAUAAAACAUUUAGCUUUGACAAUGAACCGAGUUCUGGGGGAAUUUCUCCGGUUAGUUGGUUGGAGUCAAUGGUAAUGACUACUAGUUUUGAGCAACCUGACACGUUUCUAGGAAUUUCUCCGGCCAAUGAAUUGUUGUCUAGCUGCAACACUUGUAGGCGGCGCAACCGCCCGACUUGCGGGGGGAUUUCUCCAACAAGACUAUUAUUUUGGAUAUAAAUCUCACUCAAGAAGCUUAGAUUUCCGAUAUAAGGAGAGAUGGACCCUGAGAAUCCUAGUGAGGACAAAUUCAGGACCGUGACCCUUUGGUGUCUCAGGCCACACCUAACUCCAUACCAAUGGCAAAAUCCAAUGGUGUCGUUCCACGAGUCAAGCACCGAAUAAGGGUCUUUGAUUGCGGCCUUAAAUGCGAGGAGUGCGAGUUUGUCGGUUUCAUUUGUGGUGGAGGAGACUAGGACAAGGCACAAUGCAAGCACAAGACAAAGAAGAAAACAACAUGGUUGUAAUUGUGCAAAACUGAAGUGUGCAAGCUCCAUAGCUCGAGCAGAAGUGGGUAGAUAUGAAGGGAGGGACCAUAAGAGGAAAUGAGAGAUGUGGGAGUGCUGAUGCAAAUUGCGAAGAUAUUUAUAAGGAGGGGUGGAGUUGGAUGGAGAGCAUUUUGAAGAGCCUUUCUAGUUUUCCUUUUUCCAUGUCACAGACAAAGCCAAAACAACGGCAAAUGAGUAGCAGUCAACCAUCAACCACCCAACCUUGGCUCCAGCACUCAAUACAUUGGAGAAGUUGCACUACUUUUUCCUCUACAUCAUCACAAGUAAAUGAUGUUGACUCGGUAGCCAAUGUUCCUAACCAUCCAUUGGUUUUUGCUCAGUCACCCGUUAUGAUAAUACAUAGAAAUCAUAGUGAAAAUUAUAUAUAGUUGAUCUUUUGAGUUGAGUCCGCUUCAAGCUAGAUGACUAUUAUUGUUAUAUUUACUUUUGGGUUGAGCAUGUUGUACAAGUUGGAUCAAUCACUGAACGGUGUUCUCGGGGUGGAAAAUUGGGGGGAAGCUCCACUGUUGUAAUAUUGACUUCAAGAAUUUGCAUUGGACCCGCUAGAGAAAUUCAAUACACGCAAGUUACAUGUUAGGAUUGAAUGAGACCGAUUAUAUUGAGGCAUACUAGGAUAAUACCUACUAUGCACAUUGAGCGUGGAUGCAUAUCUUCAAAUUGCCGCAUUCUAGAAGGUUGAAUCCGAAAGUUAUGCUACCUUAUUCACACACCAAAGCAACGGUAUUGCUUAUAUAUGACCGAACAUGGAUCUAGGUAGAGAGUAAUUCUUGACAUCCAAUUAUCUUGUGCUACAACUAAGCAACGGAGAGCCACUGUUCCUACUCACAUUAUAGAACCCAAGCUUUCAUUGAAUCAGAUUUCUAAUAGCUCAUUGAUUGCAAUUUGUCUUAGUAAGCAUCAUACAAGUCAAAAAAAAAAAAAAAGCAAGGGAAAUUUAUUUGGAUUUAUUUCCAAAUAUUGUAACACCAAAAUAGAGUUUUAAGUAAACUGACAAUAGUCAAGAACCGAUGUUCAUCAUAGGCUUAUACUAGUUUAAAAUACUUACAUAUACGGAUGGCAAAUGGUAAUCAACUAUUAUCUUUAAGUAAAAGAUCUAUAGUUAUAUAUUUUACCCGUAAAUUUGCGUUUGGGUAAAUAAGACUAAAUAUAUAGCAACUAGAGAAGAUAAAACUUAAUAAAUUUAUCAUACAAUGUAUGUAAACCCAAUGCAAAGAGUUUUUCUGUAAUUAUUUACAGUUGAUUUCAGAGAGAGAGAGAGAGAGAGAGAAAUUUGGUGAAAAGAUGUGCUUUUACUAAAAUUGAUGUGGAUAUAACCCCACCUUUGUUGUUGUUUUAUAAAAUCAAAUAUAUGAUUUUAAUUGUUUCUUUAAUAAUAUUUUAUUGUUGUAGAGUUUUAGAAAUUUGCUCAAGUUUAGUAAGUUUUAGUUUAAUAUAUUUGUUGAUAAUUGAUUAUUGUUUGUGAAAAUUAAGAUGUGGGUCUUAUAGUUUAAAUAAGUACUAGAAUUUUAAAGGGCCUUUCUUGUUUUUCCUUUUUUUCUUUUUUCAUAUCACAGACAAUGCCAAAAACAAUGGCGAAGUGAGUAGCUAUCAACCAUCAACCACCCGACUUUGGCUCUAGCACUUAACGCAUUGGAGAAGUUGCACUACUUUUUCCUCCAUACCAUCACAAGUAAACGAUAUUGACUCGAUAGCCAAUCUUCUUAACCAUCCAUUGAUUUUUUGCUCAGUCACCCAUCAUGAUAAUACAUACCAUAACAAUUGAUCUUUUGAGUUGAACUUGCUUCAAGCAGGAUAACUAUCUUGCUCUUUUAGGUUGAGCUCAUUGUACAAGUUGAAUCAAUCACAACAGUCCAGUCCCACAAUUUUUAAUGGUGUUCUCAAUAUGGAAAAUUAGGGGGAAGCUUGACUGUUGGGAUGUCAACUUCGAGAAUUUGCACCUGCACUCACUAGAGAAAUCCAAUACACAUAAGUUACAUGAUUGGGACUAAGUGAGACUGGUUUUAUUGAGGCAUACUAGAUAACAUCUACUAUGCACAUUGAAUCUUCAAAUUGCCGCAUUCUAGAAGGCCGAAUCCAAAGCUAUACCACCUUAUUCACCCACCAAAGCAAUGGCGUUGCCUGUAUCUGAUUAAACAUGGAUCUAGGAAGAGAGCAAUUCGUAAUAAUCCAAUUAUCUUACACUACAACUAAAUUAUGGAGAGCCAUGUUCUGGUCACAUUACAGAACACAAGCUUUCAUUUAAUUAAAUUUCCAAUCGCUCAUUAAUUGUAAUAUAUCUCGAUGAGCAUCAAAAAAGUAAAAAGAAAAAAAGAAGCAAGGGAAUUUUAUUUGGAUUUAUUUUUAAAUACUAUGGAAAAGUAACAAAAAAAAGUCAUAAACUUAUUACAUUGAUAUCAAUUCAAUCAUAAACCUUUUUAAUUGGUCAAAUUUAAUCCUAAACCUUUUUACAUAGUACCAAUUGAGUACAUCCAAUCAAUUUUGGCUUGAAAUCAUCGACGUGAAUGUGGCCAUCCUACGUAGUACAGUCGGCACUGUGUGAACAUUUUUAAUAAUAUUCUAAUAAAAAAUUAAUUUUUUUGAAUUUUUUUUGUUUUAUUUAUUUCUUUUUUAUUCUUUACUUUUUUCUUUUCUUUUAAGCUACUAACAGCGAGGACAAGGAGGUCGAUUCUGCGAAUUGCACCAAAGGAGAUAGCGCGUUGAUCCAAACGAGGAGGAGCGAAGCCAUGACAGUUGGAGAAGCCAUUAGAGAGUGACAAUACAAGAAGUGAGGGACACAAAACACAGGAAGGCGAAGAAGAGGAGGAGGAGAAGGAGGACGAACCUAGGAACCAACGAGGAAAAAGAUAAACAAAAAAGAAAAAAAAAAUAGGACUAGUGACCAAGAAGUCUCUGUUCGCCUACACAAAUUUGGUAGAACAUUAAUUGAUCUUAGAGUUUUUUUUUAAUAGCUUCACUAUUUCUGAUAACUGGGAGAUAAACCUCAUGACAUAAUGUAGUCUUUCCAAUAAAUUUUGAACUUCUUUGACAGUACAAGAAGAUUUCAAGUCGCAAAUGACUUUCACCUUUGAGAGAUCAAUCUCAAUACCCCUACUAUUAAUGAUAAAUCCGAGAAACUUCUCAGACUUUGCCCCAAAUAUGCAUUUGGCGGGGUUAAGCCUCGGCUUGAACUUUCUAAGUCUAUCAAACAACUUCCUCAAGACUUCAACAUGAUCUUCACCUUGUCUCAAUUUAACGAUCAUGUCAUCGACAUAAAUUUCAAUUUCUUUAUGCAUCAUAUCUUGGAACAAUGCCACCAUACCUCUUUGAUAUGCUGCCCCUCUCGGACAAUGGACUACUUCUAUCGACUUGGACCGGGCUAGGUCUUUGCUUGCAAUCUUUAAUCACGGCCCAUAGCUUCCACGGGCUUAGGAUAGAGCUCGCAAUAAACUGAACAACUGAGAAGCUACCAGGCCUUUCUUGCAAGUACAAAAGUGCAGUUCUCAUCACUAAUGCCUCGACACCGACUGCAGAGGAGGCGCACACAAAAUUCGAUCAUGACACGUUAACAUGAAUCACCGGCUCUUAACAGUCGUGUUACAAUGCACAGUCGAUUUAACACGCUAGAUUUUUUUCUUUUUAUGUGAACAUAGAGUGGACGAGGCAAGUUUUAAUUUUGUGCUCCUUUUUCCAAUCUCUUGAGUUACGCUGACAAUUGCCUUGGAGCAUGGGCAAAUUUAUUUCAAUGGACAAGAAUAUCUAUGGGUUGACUUAGUUAUGUGCUCAUUUACGCUGGGAAAAGCAGGUGGACGGAUGCAAACUGAAGUUAUUUAAAGACAAAAAAUGAUACCAAUAAUCUCUAAAUUUUAGUCUAAUGUACAAGAUUAUCCAUAGAUUUUUUAACUGUGGAUUUUUUUUUUUUAUGUAUUCAAUUUAUAAUCCUUUCGUUUGAUCAAAUGAGGGAGAAAGUCCCAAGUCACUGAACCAUAAUGAAAUGUGCAAUCUAGUUCUAUACUAUUGCACAGUGUGCAAUCUAGCCUCCUUAAACUUUCAAUGUAUUCAAUAUAGUCCAUCCAUUUUCAAUAACAAAGGCAAAUCAAUCCUUUGUCAUUAUUCACAAGUUUUCAUAACGAUACCAUUGCCCUAAUUUUAUAAAUUUUCAUCCCAAUUAAUUUCCUAAAUCAAACAAAAAAAUCUAUCCUUUUUUUUUUACUCCUGUGGUUUUUAUAAAUAUUACAACAGCUCCAAUUAAAUAUAUAUUAUCUCAUGAUCUAUAUAAUAGUAAAAGUAAAAGCUCAUUUACAAUUGUAUUGGGUUGGUAUUCUUGCUACUUUAAGUUUAGGUGUUUUCAUCGAAUAUCUAUAAGUUGUAUACUUAUAGAUAUUCCAUACAUGCAAUAAUAUACAGAUAAAAACUUGUGAAUAGUAUCAAAGGAAUUAUUUGCAUUUGUCAUAAAAAAAUGGAGGACUUAAAUUAAACAACUUGAAAGUUUAGGGAUCACAUAUUUGCCACUAAUUUUAUGACUAGAUUGUUUAUAAUAUUUAAAGGACUUAUGGCAAAGGACUUAUUGUGACUUUCUCCCUUGUUUGAUCAAACAAAGGGGCUGAAUUGAAUAUUUCAUUUACUUACAGGGGGAAAGUGAUGGCUUGUGCUGUUGGAUUCAGAUUAAGACAGAAAAUCUAGGAUUGUUUCAAUGCCUUGAACCAUAUCCUAUCCUGCAUGUGUGAAGUUCUGGUUAAAUAUUUGGCAAUGGAACUGAACUUCACUUGUCUUGAUUAGAUUAUAGAACUUUAAUUCGAAUCAUCUAAUACACUAAAUGUCCACCUUCAAUGCAGAGGUCCAAAUGGCCCAAAUGUUCGCAAUGCCGAUAGCUCUCCGGAUUCUGAUCGAAGUGCACCAAUUGCAAAAAUUGUAAACGAAUUGUAAAUUUUAUGCAUGUACUGAGCAAUUGAAAUCGCAAUUUCGUAAAACUGAUCGGGAGGAAAUCACCACAUUCAUGUCGUAGCGCCAAAUGUUCAUGGUCCAUGAAUGGAUGUCACUUAUGAACUAGCCAAACAGCAAGAUUGCUGAACUAGUAAAAGCUCUCCCUCUCUCCCUCUCUCUCUUGAAGACCAAAAGAGAGAACUUAACCCACUAAGAAUCUUUACAAAUUAUAUAUACAGAUGUGAGAAUCGGUAAGUGCAGAUUAUUUGUAGAACUUCUAAUGAACCACCUACUCUGGUCUGAACUUCACCCAUCAGCCGACAAUAAAUCAGGCUGGCUUUUCUGACAUGAAUAGGCAGGACCAACCAACAAACUACAAAUUGUCCCUCAUAUCAGGAUUAAAAAGUAAGGAGACAUGCAGGAGGAGAGCAAGCUUGGACAAAUGGGGUUUGGUUCCGACGGUCUUUGAUCACCUUAGGUGAGAAUCAUAUGUUUCCAAGAGAUUAUCAGGAACGACCAGAGGCAACUUAUCUAUGUACAUGAAGAGCCUCCGAAGAUUCUACCUGGUCACGGUGAACAUGUCGACUAUGUCCCUGCUGUCCAUGAAUAUCCAAAGGUCACCCGAGUUUACUCUCUUGAGGUUGUUCCGACAGAACGGGCAGGACUGCGAUCUCGUCCGCCUGUAAUGUCACAAUGAGGCCACGUUAGAGAAUUUUCACACAAACCCUGCAGUUAAUGAAUAGUCCCAGCAAAACCAGAACGGCAACACUAGAGUAAAAGAUCAAAGUUUUUCUAGCAUCUGAUCUUUCUUACAUGACGCGGCCAAAUGAAUCAUAUAACUGGAUAACCUAACUUGACAAUGGACUGUAGUGAAAAAUCAAACAAGAUUAGAGAACCGAGAAGUACUGUAUGACAACUUAUAUGAACCCCCCUUGUUGAUUGUUGGCAGAUAGCAAAUAAUUCACCGGAGGUUCCAUUUUAACCAUCCAAACUACAAUACAAAUGCAAAAACUCUAUGACAAGUAGCAAUUAUAAUAAUAAAUAAACGUCCAUGACCCAAUGAGGGUGAAAAAAACAAACUAAUUUUAGAGUAGCUUACACCGGUAAGGAGGUUUUAGACCAAAAAAAAAAAAAAAACACAGAGAGAGAGACAACCUGUAAGGAGAUUUCAAAAUGCUUUAACAAGAACUGGUGACUUCAUUAAGGUUAUUCAACUUCAAUAGGGAAUUAGCAAAUUUGAACUCCCAUCAACUAUCAGAGAUUGCCAGCAAUAUCUUUGAAGACUUAAAUCUGACUUUAUUACUGAAAGAAGAUUUAUGUGUAUGCAUUAUAGAGGUGGUUAUGGAGGGCGAUGGCAAAAUUGGUAUUUACUGAAAAGGAAAAACCAUUUCAGACGCUCAAAUCAAAUCCAAUUUUGCAUAACUUUUACACAUCCCUCGUCACUUAUUAGUCUCGUCAUUCUUAAUUUUGCAACUGUAAGUCCAGGCAAUAAGUGUCCACACAAGACAAAUUGACAAAUAUAAAUUCACACAAAGUGCAAGAAACAACAAAAACAUGGUUCUCUCUUCACUUUUUUCCAGCGAGCAGAAACCCAAGCUUAUCAUAUGUCCCAACCUCCACCCACAUAAAAAUUCGAACACGAAAGAUCAUCAACUGGGCUUCACUGAAAUGCUCCCAAUACUCUCAUAGGAUGCAGCUCCCUUUGCACAUGAUUUAUUGAUCCAUGCUAGUAUGUAUCCAUGGGUGCACACAACUAACAACUCCCCAAAGUCCCUGCUAAUGGUAUAUGCAAGAAUCUGACUAGUUCUUACCUCAUAGGAUCUGUAACUGGGUUGGAGAAACAAGAAAUAGUUAAAAGCAGUCCCCCACCAAAUCCUCAAUAUCUGCUAACUUUCUGGGAAGCUUGAUUAGUACUAUCUAAGGAAGGCCGACAUUGCCCCACUCUAAGACUGCCUGCCAUUUUCAAACAACUAUUGAUCUUUAAAAGCAACUGCUCUCUAAAUAAAGAAAGUCACCAGAUUGCCAAUUCUCUAAAGCACCCUGUCCACUUCGUCAACCCGCUUUCCCACAUUUCCUACCAUGCAAAGCUGCAAAUCCUAGUGGACAUACAUCAAACUUCUAAAAUUUCUGAUCGCACAUAUGCACUGAAAAGGAC
RNAcentral lists this long non-coding RNA (25104 nucleotides) under Eucalyptus grandis. RNAcentral's name for it is "long non-coding RNA (EGRA_LNC003174)". Lineage: Eukaryota; Viridiplantae; Streptophyta; Magnoliopsida; Myrtales; Myrtaceae. The record is from RNAcentral.